AACGAACGCUGGCGGCAUGCCUAACACAUGCAAGUCGAACGAGACCUUCGGGUCUAGUGGCGCACGGGUGCGUAACGCGUGGGAACCUGCCCUUAGGUUCGGAAUAACUCCCCGAAAGGGAUGCUAAUACCGGAUAAUUUCUUCGGACCAAAGAUUUAUCGCCUUUGGAUGGGCCCGCGUUGGAUUAGCUAGUUGGUAGGGUAAAAGCCUACCAAGGCGACGAUCCAUAGCUGGUCUGAGAGGAUGAUCAGCCACACUGGGACUGAGACACGGCCCAGACUCCUACGGGAGGCAGCAGUGGGGAAUAUUGGACAAUGGGCGAAAGCCUGACCAAGCAAUGCCGCGUGAGUGAUGAAGGCCUUAGGGUUGUAAAGCUCUUUUACCCGGGAUGAUAAUGACAGUACCGGGAGAAUAAGCGCCGGCUAACUCCGUG
RNAcentral lists this ribosomal RNA (433 nucleotides) under uncultured bacterium. RNAcentral's name for it is "partial 16S ribosomal RNA". It matches the Rfam family "Bacterial small subunit ribosomal RNA", at positions 29 to 507 of the family's 1533-position model. The record is from RNAcentral.